Molecule: long non-coding RNA, 324 nt
Organism: Vigna radiata var. radiata (mung bean)
Lineage: Eukaryota; Viridiplantae; Streptophyta; Magnoliopsida; Fabales; Fabaceae
Exons: 3
Source: RefSeq, a predicted model, not a curated record
CCCCAUCAUCAAUCAUCACAACAAGAGCACAAGAUCUCAAUCAAAAGGGCAAAGAGAACGAAACCGAAAGAAAAAGUCUGUGCAGCUGCGAAGAAAUUUCUUGUGUUUAAAGCAACAGGUGGGAUGUUCUUAGAGUUAGACAGUUUUUUUGUGAGAUAUCUGAAAUCAUUGAGAGUUGUGUACUUUUGCUCAGCUAAAGAAACUCUUGUUUAUGGAGCUGUUGAAGUGCUACUGCGACGACAGAGGAAUAACUGGUUCAUCCUCGGUGUAUAUGAGGAAGUGUCUGGAAGAUGUUCAUCCUUCGUGACGUAUUCAGAGGAGGUG